Molecule: ribosomal RNA, 468 nt
Filed under: uncultured bacterium
Lineage: Bacteria
Description: partial 16S ribosomal RNA
Rfam family: Bacterial small subunit ribosomal RNA
Source: RNAcentral
GACGAACGCUGGCGGCGCGCCUAACACAUGCAAGUCGAACGGAGUCAAGAGGAGCUUGCUUUUCUUGACUUAGUGGCGCACGGGUGAGUAACGCGUGAGUAACCUGCCCUGGAGUGGGGGACAACAGUUGGAAACGACUGCUAAUACCGCAUAAGCCCACGGAUCUGCAUGGAUCUGCGGGAAAAGGAUUUAUUCGCUCUAGGAUGGACUCGCGUCCAAUUAGCUAGUUGGUGAGGUAACGGCCCACCAAGGCGACGAUUGGUAGCCGGACUGAGAGGUUGAACGGCCACAUUGGGACUGAGACACGGCCCAGACUCCUACGGGAGGCAGCAGUGGGGGAUAUUGCACAAUGGGGGAAACCCUGAUGCAGCGACGCCGCGUGGAGGAAGAAGGUUUUCGGAUUGUAAACUCCUGUCGUUAGGGACGAUAAUGACGGUACCUAACAAGAAAGCACCAGCUAACUACGUG